RNAcentral lists this non-coding RNA (74 nucleotides) under uncultured Prevotella sp. RNAcentral's name for it is "L13-Bacteroidia ribosomal protein leader". It matches the Rfam family "L13-Bacteroidia ribosomal protein leader". Lineage: Bacteria; Pseudomonadati; Bacteroidota; Bacteroidia; Bacteroidales; Prevotellaceae. The record is from RNAcentral.
GGGAUGAGCUUAGAGUCCCCGGUGCAGGAGUGUUAAUAGCUGCGCUUUUGGCCGAGCGUGGCGGUUAGUGAAUC